AAUAGAUACCCUGGUAGUCCACGCCGUAAACGAUGAGUGCUAAGUGUUAGAGGGUUUCCGCCCUUUAGUGCUGCAGCUAACGCAUUAAGCACUCCGCCUGGGGAGUACGGCCGCAAGGCUGAAACUCAAAGGAAUUGACGGGGGCCCGCACAAGCGGUGGAGCAUGUGGUUUAAUUCGAAGCAACGCGAAGAACCUUACCAGGUCUUGACAUCCUCUGCCAACCCUAGAGAUAGGGCGUUCCCCUUCGGGGGACAGAGUGACAGGUAGUGCAUGGUUGUCGUCAGCUCGUGUCGUGAGAUGUUGGGUUAAGUCCCGCAACGAGCGCAACCCUUGAUCUUAGUUGCCAGCAUUCAGUUGGGCACUUUAAGGUGACUGCCGGUGACAAACCGGAGGAAGGUGGGGAUGACGUCAAAUCAUCAUGCCCCUUAUGACCUGGGCUACACACGUGCUACAAUGGAUGGUACAAAGAGCUGCGAACCCGCGAGGGUAAGCGAAUCUCAUAAAGCCAUUCUCAGUUCGGA
This 522-nucleotide ribosomal RNA is filed under the name uncultured bacterium. Its description in RNAcentral is "bacterial SSU rRNA". It matches the Rfam family "Bacterial small subunit ribosomal RNA", at positions 777 to 1297 of the family's 1533-position model. The record is from RNAcentral.